GUCUUGAUGGCGCAGUUGGCUAGCGCGUUGGUCUCAUAUUUGAAUGAUAUGAUCUAGUUAAACACUAGAAAUCCAGAGGUCGUGAGUUCGAGCCUCACUCAGGACA
Molecule: transfer RNA, 106 nt
Filed under: Xylaria grammica
Lineage: Eukaryota; Fungi; Ascomycota; Sordariomycetes; Xylariales; Xylariaceae
Also listed under: 1 other name
Rfam family: tRNA
About the family: Transfer RNA (tRNA) molecules are approximately 80 nucleotides in length. Their secondary structure includes four short double-helical elements and three loops (D, anti-codon, and T loops). Further hydrogen bonds mediate the characteristic L-shaped molecular structure. tRNAs have two regions of fundamental functional importance: the anti-codon, which is responsible for specific mRNA codon recognition, and the 3' end, to which the tRNAs corresponding amino acid is attached (by aminoacyl-tRNA synthetases). tRNAs cope with the degeneracy of the genetic code in two manners: having more than one tRNA (with a specific anti-codon) for a particular amino acid; and 'wobble' base-pairing, i.e. permitting non-standard base-pairing at the 3rd anti-codon position.
Source: Rfam by way of RNAcentral